Molecule: long non-coding RNA, 2241 nt
Organism: Ictalurus punctatus (channel catfish)
Lineage: Eukaryota; Metazoa; Chordata; Actinopteri; Siluriformes; Ictaluridae
Source: Ensembl
GUACAUCAAUAGAGUGAUAAGAAGAAAACGCUCUCCGGUGCUGUGCUCUGUAAAUAUCACAAAUCACACAGUGGGAACCUGCGAGCAAGGCACACACUUCCACGCCGGUCAAUCUCAUUAGCGCGAACGUGAUGCGUAUGUGUUGUCAUGGAAGGUGAGGACGUUUUACCGUCUAGGGAACAUCAGAAAAUGUGAAAAUGAAUUUCGUUCCUGACCAAAAUUUGAUGUUAUAGACUCAAAAAAAUGAAGAAUAAAGACUAUAUAGACAGAAAAUACAAUUUUUGUUAUUACUAUUUUUUUUUUUUUCCAAUUCUGAAUGAAUAGUCCUAGACGUCUCGUCUCGUCUGUGCUGUCGUGUCAGGUUUUGUAACUUCUCGGAUACGGAUUUAUAUUUUUCCUCGGAGCACUGAAACCUAAUCUGUUGUGAAAUUGUUGAUACUGCUCAACGUGACAAAACGACCCCCCCCCCAGGAGUAACGAUUCACUUUAUAUGAGCCCUUAGGCAAAUUGACGUUGUGCCGAUCGUACACGCGCCAAACGGGCUCGUUUCCAGGCUCUACGUUUCACUAAACACUAUAAAGAUGAAUGUUAGUGCAGUCUUGGUAAGAACAUACUGUCACUCUGCUGUAACAUACGUAAUGAAUAUGCAACGGAUUGCAGAUACUAAAGCGGUGAUCAAAUAUACUGGUGGUGUAUUUGACGUGAUUGAGGUUUACGUCCAGCUUUGAGUAAUGUUUUUUGUUAUUCUUUUCCCCCACACUGUGUUAACCAGGUAGUAAAAAAAAUCACAGCCAACGUAUUUCGAGGAAUGAAAAUGAAUUAGGCAAACGAACAGAGUUGUUCCCUGGUAAUCAUUUUAAAAGUUCUGCUGCCAGUAAAUAAAAUGCAGAGUGCUCAGAUAUGAAAUGAAGCUCUUCGGACAAAAGAGAACCCACUUUCGUUAGCGUGGAAGAGUACGGGGUGCUCACACUGAGCUGCACACGGAGCUGCGCACGGAGCUGCUGGUGUUGGUUGGGGGUUGGUCAGAAUUCCUUCAGGAGGAGAGGAGAGGUGGGGUUUUUUGGUCAGAAUUCCUUUGGGAGUGAGUGGGACUGGUCAAAAUGUGAUCAUUUUAUUUGAUUUCUAUUGUUCUUUUAAUAAUACAGUCACAAAGCAGCUUUACAGGGAUUAGUCAGAGUUCCUUUGCGAGAAGGCAGGAUUGGUCAGAAAUCCGUCUUGAGAGGUGGGAUUAAUCAGAAUUCCUUUAUGAGAGCAGGUGGGAUCAGUCAGAAUUCCUUUACGAGAGCAGGUGGAAUCAGUCAGAAUUCCUUUACGAGUGCAGGUGGGAUCAGUCAGGAUUCCUAUGGCAGAGCAGGUGGGAUCAGUCAGAAUUCCUUUACGAGAGCAGGUGGGAUCAGUCAGAAUUCCUUUGCGAGAGCAGGUGGGAUCAGUCAGAAUUCCUAUGGCAGAGCAGGUUGGAUCAGUCAGAAUUCCUUUGCGAGUACAGGUGGGAUCAGUCAGGAUUCCUAUGGCAGAGCAGGUGGGAUCAGUCAGAAUUCCUUUGCGAGAGCAGGUGGGAUCAGUCAGAAUUCCUUUGCGAGAGCAGGUGGGAUCAGUCAGAAUUCCUUUGCGAGAGCAGGUGGGAUCAGUCAGAAUUCCUUUGCGAGAGCAGGUGGGAUCAGUCAGAAUUCCUUUGCGAGAACAGGUGGGAUCAGUCAGAAUUCCUUUGCAAGAGCAGGCGGGAUCAGUCAGAAUUCCUUUGCGAGAGCAGGUGGGAUCAGUCAGAAUUCCUUUGCAAGAGCAGGUGGGAUCAGUCAGAAUUCCUUUGCAAGAGCAGGCGGGAUCAGUCAGAAUUCCUUCAAGAGAACGUGGGAGCAGGAUUUAAAAAAAAGAAAGGAAAGAAACAACAGUUUAAUGCACACCUCUACACCAUAGUAACUCAUGCGGCGUGUUUUGUAUCAUUAUCCUGCAACAUGAAGUGACCUCAAGUUUAGAGUUUGUUUAUUAUUCGAUAUUUGGCCUUUUUAAUGGGGGAAGUCCUUAGAUCAUUUUUUGUGUAAUUUGAGAGUGUUUUUUUCAUUCUAGAACAUGAUGACCUGCUUUACUUUCACUUUUUAUUUUAUUUUUUUCCUGCUGCGGAUAAACAGCAACAGAACCCGGAUUCACGCGUCACUUCUAGAGUCUAGGUCUUGUUUUAAGCUCUGUUGUACACGAACAGACUGUACACUGACGCACAACUAGCCAAAAUACCACCACCAAACC